CCUANGGGGGGCAGCAGUAGGGAAUAUUGGACAAUGGCUGAAAAGCUGAUCCAGCCAUCCCGCGUGAAGGCAGAAGGUCCUAUGGAUUGUAAACUUCUUUUCUCUGGGAAGAAAAGGCGGGUUUCUACCUGCUCUGACGGUACCAGAGGAAUAAGCACCGGCUAACUCCGUGCCAGCAGCCGCGGUAAUACGGAGGGUGCAAGCGUUAUCCGGAUUCACUGGGUUUAAAGGGUGCGUAGGCGGGCUUGUAAGUCAGUGGUGAAAGCCCGGGGCUCAACUCCGGAACUGCCGUUGAUACUGCAAGCCUUGAGUACGGUUGAGGUGGGCGGAAUACAUCAUGUAGAGGUGAAAUUCUUAGAUAUGAUGUAGAACACCGAUUGCGAAGGCAGCUCACUAAAGCGUAACUGACGCUGAGGCACGAAAGCGUGGGGAUCAAACAGGAUUAGAUACCCUUNUANUC
This 460-nucleotide ribosomal RNA is filed under the name uncultured bacterium. RNAcentral's name for it is "bacterial SSU rRNA". It matches the Rfam family "Bacterial small subunit ribosomal RNA", at positions 338 to 795 of the family's 1533-position model. The record is from RNAcentral.